UUGCGGUUUAAUCGGACUCAACGCCGGAAACUCACCAGAUAAGACAGCUGAAUGAUAGUCGGGCUGAAGACUCUACUUGACUAGCUGAGAGGAGGUGCAUGGCCGUCGUCAGUUCGUACUGUGAAGCAUCCUGUUAAGUCAGGCAACGAGCGAGACCCACGCCAACAGUUGCCAGCUCGUCCUCCGGGAUGGUGGGGGACACUGUUGGGACCGCCUCUGCUAAAGAGGAGGAAGGAAUGGGCAACGGUAGGUCAGCAUGCCCCGAAUUAUCUGGGCUACACGCGGGCUACAAUGGGUGGGACAAUGGGUAUCGACACCGAAAGGUGAAGGCAAUCUCCUAAACCCAUCCGUAGUUCGGAUUGUGGGCUGCAACUCGCCCACAUGAAGCUGGAAUCUGUAGUAAUCGUGUCUCAAAAUGGCACGGUGAAUAUGUCCCUGCUCCUU
Molecule: ribosomal RNA, 444 nt
Filed under: uncultured Methanomicrobiales archaeon
Lineage: Archaea; Methanobacteriati; Methanobacteriota; Methanomicrobia; Methanomicrobiales
Description: bacterial SSU rRNA
Rfam family: Archaeal small subunit ribosomal RNA
Source: RNAcentral